Molecule: long non-coding RNA, 8402 nt
Organism: Varanus komodoensis (Komodo dragon)
Lineage: Eukaryota; Metazoa; Chordata; Lepidosauria; Squamata; Varanidae
Exons: 4
Source: RefSeq, a predicted model, not a curated record
AUAUUGGGUGGCUGAAGUGAGAAGGGGAAGAUGGCGGAGUGAGAGGAAGAAGCGAAAGCAGAGCUGGGGGCUUCGGCCCAGGGCCCUUAGCCGAGAUCUAUCCAUGCAUCAUCUUGACUGGCAUUACCAGAAAGCUGAAGGCAAAGGUGCUUGGUGAUAACAUGAUUUGUGCUGCCAUGAAGCAAAAGGGAAAAAUAUUCUUGUGGUUUCAGUCAGAGAAUUGAAAGCCAAGAAACUGCAGUGGUCUUAUGCAACAGUCCUUUCUUCUCCACUCAGCUAAGGCUGGAGCUUUGCCUGUCCAUGAAUGCACUUCUGAUGAAGAAAACUCCUUCCUUUAUCUCCAUGAGGGAAAGUAAAGAACCACUGCUCUGUUUCUGCUCCAAAUCAUUUACAUAAAAGUUGACUUAUGAGGCUGGUAUUACAGAAAACCUAUUAUUGCCCUUACAGUGUCAACUAUGCUAGUGCUUUCCUUGGAGUUUUUGCACUCUGGAAAUGAUUGUGCAUGCGGGAACUGGCAAAUGUCAGUUCUGGUUGGUAGUUUGCUUCAUUCAAAGUACCAUGGUGAGGUAACUGUCUGCCUAGUUCCUAGAUCUCCAUUGGAGAACCUAACAAAUAGAUGUCCUUGGAACAUGUAUUUCAGACCAUCUUAUACGUAAGAUCUUAGCAGAAUAACCAGGGUAGACAUAUGUUUUAAAUUGGAAAAAAAACUUAACUGGGAAAGAAAAACAGCUUGGAAAAUUUCCCAAUGGGAAUUUUUCUCCUCCUUAAAAGGGCCAAUUUAUAGAUAAUUAUCUUGUAAAGCAGCUGAUGCAUAACAGGUGAUAGUUAUUUUGUCUACUGUAUUUCAUACAUCCUCAUCUUUUAAAGCAAAACAAGUGAACAAAUCAAAUCUGCACAUAUAAAACUACAUAAUGGCUAGAAAGGGGAGUUACUGCCAGUUUUCUAACAUUUCUUCCAGAAGAAAAGAAGAUUGAGGGCUUAAAACAAGCAAACAAACAAAAGCCCAGGUGCAUUUAGCUUUACAUGGCAUCCCCACUCUUCCUAGGGAAUUCAGCAGCAAAAGGAACAAUAGCUUUCUCCAGUUCAAGCUUUUACCCAAAGGGAACAACAAAGAUAGUAUAAAAAGUGUAUGUAAAACUUUCCAGCGCUUAGAUGAACAAAGAUUAGACAUGCUCAGGAAGGGCUUCUUCAGCAGUUCUCUGGUGUGUUAUCCACAGUUAAGGUGGAAAUUUUGAUUUAAUGUGUUUAUUGAAGAUUCUUUGUCAUGUGUGAUUCAUACAGGACAUUUUCUUUCCACAUGGGAUCAUAGCUGAUCUUUAGCUACCGCAUGCCAGGGUAGGUGGCUUCCUGGUUUUAAAACAAAAAAGUCUUACGUACUAUCUUGUGCUGAACCCUGGAGCCCUUAGUAGUGCACCUUAUUUUAGACUUAUUAAAAUGUGAACUUAGAUUCGUCAACUAAUUUAAAAAGAAAUCCUCCAUCUAUGUUAGAAAUUGGAGAACAUAUAAUAAUGAUCAGCCAUGUUUAGCAACAUUUUGAGUGCUAUCUUAGGUCUAAUGAGAAGUAGCAAACGCAUUUUCUAUGAAGGAAAGCAGUGCCUGCUUGUACUUUAUUAUAAAAUCUCACAACACAUUCUUGUGUGAUUUUAUAAUAAUGAAUUUCAUGAGAGCACCUAAGCACUUGUAUUUGGUCAUUACUUCUUAUUUAAUCAUAAAAGGAUGCACAAAAAAACUUAAGACAUUUUCUUCAGCUGCUUUCCUUGAUUGAAAAUCAAGUUUGGAAAAGAAUGUUUAAUAGGAAAACGCAAACUGCUGACAAUUUAAACCUGUAGAACAUAAUCAGAUCUAUGACUGGUCGGUGUAGCAGGAGAAAUGGUUGGUUAGAUUGUUCAGAAUCAGAUUGGCUUUGAAUUAUUGAACUUCUGAGAUAAAAAAGAGUUAAACUAAUUAGAUAUCAUCAUAGACUGUCCUAAACAGGAAAUUCAUUAGUAUUCUAGAUGUAGAGCCAGACAGCUUAAAUAUAAAUUCUCUGUGAAUCUGAUACUGAAAAUUUAGAAGGCAUCAGCAUUGUGAUGGAUUGAUCAGUCUGGGUUUUAUGUUGUCUUAGCUACUUACACCUCAGAAAUAUUAUUUGUUGAAGAAUAUCAUAGUACAGAGAGGGAAUGUUCUUUAGUUUUUUUCCAAGUUGUUUGAAUGAAUGUAUGUGAGAGUGAUUAUACGAGUUGCACAAAACUCCAGUAAAGAACUUUACCCUAUCCAUCUGUUUUCCUCCAAAUCCCAUUCUAAUUAUAUACCCAGUUAUGCUGAGCAGGACUAUGUUAGGAAUGAAUUUAAAAUCUUAGAGAAACAGCAAGUCUUCUGUACUGGCCCAGGAAAUCCUCACGCAGUACCUGUCCUGUAGCAUCCUCUUACAGCACUGUGUAAAGGCAAUAUGCCUUAAUAUUUUGGUUUUACAUACUGAUCUGCAUCUCUGUCUCUAUGUUGGCAGGAAAUCUUUCCCAGAUGAUAGAUUUAAAAAAUAUGGGGCAUGUGCAAUAGUAUAAUAUAUACAUAUAAAUAUAUUUUAAUACUUGUGGACAAAAUGUUACAAGUUGUUUGAGAACAACAAAAUCACCAAUGUCUUCCAUUUUGAGAUGUGUAUAGUUCCAUAAGCAUUAGUGCUUUGUAGCAAAACUGUAGUGCCAUGUUAGGACCAGUGCAUGAGCCUAGUAGUGCUUUUUUUACAAUUUCAGAGUGACAAAUUAACAAUGCUGAUGGUGUAAUUCAUAAGAAUCUGACAAAAUUAUGAUCAUGGUCUUAAGAUGCAGUGUCCUUUCUAGGCAAUGUUAAUAGAAGACAGAGGUAUAAAAUCAGUUAAGUUUAUCAAAAGAAAUUACAAAAGAACCCCAGAUUCUAGUUUAACCCUUUUCUCUGUAAUAUUUAGCUAUAAUAGAAAAAUAACUGAUUAACUGAUUGUUUAGGUUCCUAGGGCCCAAUCUUGUACAUGUUUAGACACAAACAGGUAGAACUUUUCCCUGUCCUUUAAAUGUCCUUCCAUAUGAACAUACAUAGUGAUUAGAAUGACCAUAUGGCUCAUGUUCUUCAAAGAACUACAUGUUCUUUUAAAAGUCUCCUCAGUAUAUUUUUGUUUUCCAUUGAAAAGGCCUUGGAUUUUAAAAUCUUUUCUUCUGCUGUAUCAUCAUAAUAAUCAUUUCAUUUCUGUACUGCCUAUAGCCAAAGCUCUCCAGGCAGUUUAUGACAAAGCUUUUUAAUAGAUACACUUGUGUCAAAGUAUCACUGUAGUUCUUGAUCAGGAGUAGCUUCUUGCAAAAUUGACUAAAUUAGAACUGGGAUUUGUUAUUACUAAAUUAUUAAUAAUCUCCAGUAUUAAAAGCAAAUGAGUUCAAGUUUCUGUUCACCUAGGAAAUUGUAGGAAUUUCCUAAUAACUCUUGCUAUUGGGUUAUACUUAAUCACUGCAAUCCAGACACAUUGACUUGCAUUCGUUUAUUUAUGUCUCUAGGAUGUCUCUUUUCUUUUCUGAAUUUACUCCAAGUGGAUGACUCUCAUGUUUUGAUUCAAGCAAGUCACUUGAAUCAGUUUUAAGCCAUGUAUCUUUCUCUUUAGAUCUGUAGUUUGGACUGCUUCUAUUUGCUCAUUUUUAAAAAGUCAUAUUUUUAGCCUAAAGAGGAUGCUGCAUCUUUUUCUUGGUCUUGUCUGUAAAUGGCUGCCUUCGUUAGUGGAAUUUUUUUUCUGGCUUUGAGUUGAUUAUUGACUAACAAUUCAUAGAAAACAUGUAAUUAACUAUGAAGCAAGAGAUCUUGCAGAAUUAGUUUUACAUUUAAAGGUCACUGCCUAUUUCCUCCUGUAAAUUGCGAAGGUGGAUCAUUUACAGAUGACCUGUAAGGACCUGAGCUCUGUCAAGGUUUUGUUGUGUAUUUGUACCAUUGAAUUAAGUAGUAUUAGUGCUUGGGAGAAUCAAUUGAUGGAAAAAUACCUCUGAAACUGGAAUGCAAAAUAGCACAGUAUGUAGGGGGAAGAAUCCCUGAUGCAAAUAAAGCCAUAAGAUGACUUAAUAAAUAGAACUUUAGUAGCAAUAACUGUUUGCAUGUAAUAGGAACUAACUUGCAUUAGCAAGAAUUGUACAGUAGAAUAAAUGGUACUAACCAAAUAGGUUUGUGGUGCUCUGUGUUGCAGGGAGUUGCCUGAUGAGUUUCUCUUUAAAAAAUUGGCAAAUUCAUCUCCUCUAAGGAAUUUGGCUCAUGAAUGUUUCCAGGGCAGGGCUUGAUACAAACACCAGAAUAGCUAUUUUGUUUUUCAGAAUUGUUGCAACUAGAAAAGAAGCUGCUUGUGCAUGAAGAGGUGGAUGACUCCUUAUCCUGCUUGUCUGUAGAUAGCAUGUUGUUGAUACUCACCUCUGGGGUGAAAGAAAACUCUUUAAAAACUGUGAACAGGGCUAGGUUCUACCAAGAUACGUAAUUUAGGAAAUGGUGGAAGCUUGUUGCCGUUACUUGAAACUAGUUAGAUGUGUCAAAUCUGUUGAAGAAUUCAGACAAAAUACAGAUCAUCCAAAUAUUUCUACCAAGAGUUGUGACUGUCUUUUGAAAAUAUACUUUUGAUUUUUGACUUUUGCAAACCUGCUGUAUGGUUUUACUUUUUUUCUUUUUUUAAAUCUACUGUUGGAAGGGAAGAACAACUUUCAGUUCAGCAUGGCCAACAUUCGUUUAACUCCACCACUCUACAGCAUGCAGUGUAUACGUCCUUGAAAUGCAGCUUGCACUUAAGCGGGAUGCAUCUGCAAAGUGGUAUUGAAAGAGGCUGACUUUACCUUUGUUCUAUUCUUAAUUAUGGGGUCUCCAUUAUGUACCAGCUGUUUGAUUAACACAGUCUUGCUAAAUAGGAAUGAAGGCCCUAUUUUAAAAGGGAAAUCCAUAUAUAGCCUGUGCAAAGUUCUGCCCUUAUAUAUUUAUACUGGAAUAUGAAAGUAAUACCUUCCAAAAGAAUCAAGCAUAAACUUGUCAUGCAUGUGUGCUAAGACAACCAACAAAAAUUGCUUAACAAGUUUUGCCCACAGAAAUAUGUAGGGAAACUUUGCCCUUCAUCUUGCCAACUCCCCCAAGCAACACCACCACCAGUACCCUAAAGCCCAGAUCUUGAUUAGCUAAGGAAAUUAUUUGCACUUAGUUCUGAACACACAUUGGCAGAAUUGUUUUGAGCAGCUGGCUUGCAAGCAUUUUCAUAUUUCUGAAACUGGUGCUAGCUCCAUAGUGCUACCUAAUUUAGUAAAUAGUCUGAAUUUUAGCACGGUAUCAGGGUCACAAGUGUGUGGACUUCUUCACUGCAUUAGCUAUGGUGCUUUUCAGAAAGAUCUAGUUAAGAUGUGGUUAAUUGUUUGAAGAGGCUUGGAUUUCUAGCACAGCUUCAUUAUGGAAAGUAUUAUAACCUUGAGUUACAGAAAUGUGAGGCUAUGAAAUCCUUCUGGGGGAUUGCACUUAAGUAGCUUACACCUCAGCAGUUGAAAUGUUUAAACUUCAGAAGAUCUAGCAUUGUUAUUUAUUUUCAUCAGCAGAUAAAGGGGAGAAAAGGUCCUUCUCUAAAGUGGCUCUUCAUGGUACUUAAGCAUUCCUUGUGUAUUUUCCUUCUCUUUUGCAUUGUAUGAUUUUCCUGAUAGCCCUUAUCUUUGUUUGAAGAACAGUUUCAUUCAAAUCACAUUAGUGCUAUUCUUGAUGAAUGGCUGCACAAGACUUGCUUUUCAUUUCUCUCAGUUCUAGUCGCAUGGUUCCUCUGUAUUUUUCUAGCCUGUAAUCUUUUUGGCAACAUUCCUGUACUAAAUCUCUCUCUUAGAUUUACCUUCCUUGUUUUAGACUUUGAAGAACACUAAAUACAGAGGCAUAGGAAUUCAAGCACAAUUUUGACAAAGAAUACAUAGGUGCCACUAAAUACCUUUCACAAUAAGCUUCUAUUAUACAGGUAUCAAGGUUGCAUCUGGUAGAUCUGGGACCUUGCAAAGAGGAUCUGGUGUACCUAAAUAAAAUUAGGUUGCUGUUUUAAAAUCUAUUGGUGCUGGUGUAGUAGCAGAGGAAAGAUGAGAGGUCUGUUUCCUCUCCCUGUAUGUAGGCAAAGAGCUCUCUCUCUCUCCUGAAAUUCAGGGAAAUGGCCUGCAGGAAUAUUUGUUCCACCUAAAAAGGACUUCAAGAAUAAAAUUCACUAGUGUCUGCAUGUAACAGUGAAUAAAAUAACACUUUUACAUGGAAAGUCUCCUUUUGACUGGAAUCUGGAAAGUGAAGAACAGGUAAAUGAUUAGCAUAGUCUGAAGGGUGAGAGCAAGCUGAACAUUUCUCACAUACUAAGAGGAAAAUGUGUGUAGAGUGGGAAACUAGCCUCAUUUUAUCUUGGGGUGGAAAAAUGGUGGGUAGGGUGGAGGCUCUCUAUUUCAGCACUUGCUACUUGGCUUUAGACAAAACUUUUCCAAGUCAGCACAAUAAAUACUCCACAAGGCUUAGCUUUUCUUACAGACUAGAAGCUACAACUUGUUCUUCCAUGCAAAGCAGGGCUUAACAAAACAUUUGAAAGAUAGUUGGGGUUGUAAAGCCCUCAGAAUGAAACAUUUGCAUGGAAAAGUGACAAUGGCACAAGCAUACAGGCCCACAAACCGUCUUUUAUAGAGCUAGUAUUCUAAUUAUGCAUGGUUAAGAUGUCUAGUGUUAUAGUUAUUACCAGUAAAUUGAUAUAUGCAUUUAUACAUUAUGAAGCAAUAGGAACUGAUAUACCAAUAGCUUGAAUUUACUGCUUUGAUUCUCAGAUUUUUGUUUUUAGAGAACAUGCCCCUUUAGAAAAGGGGCCGAGUGUACAAAUAAGGGAAGAAGCAUGAUGCCAAAACUGUGUAAUGGAAAGAGGAAUCAGCAGAAUGAGCCCUUUUGACCUCUUACCAGGUUCACAGUGGUGCUUUGAGCCUGCAUAAUAUGAACAUGGUUGGUGGCAAGAUGGGUUUCUUGGCUGCUACAAUUGUACAAAUAAAAAGGUGCAGAGUUUCAGAGAGCAGAGAAGGCAAUAGAUGAAACUCAAAUAGGGUAACAGAAACACGGUCGUUAGUAAUAGAGGAAAUUCAAGUAUUUUUCACAUAGCAGACAGAAGGAACCUUGGUCAGAGGCUAUUGCAGCAAGUGAAUGAGUGAAUAAAAUUGGUAAGCAGUCUAUACUCUUCAGGUAUUGAACCAUUUCAAGGAGAGGUCUGUUUUUUUCAGGAUUCUUUUACCACCAGGGCAGCUAUACCAAGAUAAACUGGUUUCAAACCAGCAAUAAUGGUAUCUUACACAAUUCUGAAAAUUUCUGUCUGAUACACAUUCAAGACAAGCUAAAAUGUGCUAAGUAGGGAAGUUUUAAUCUUCUAAAGAACAAAUGGUAGCAACCCCCCUCCCCCCACCAUGACCCUGUGCCCCAGUUUUACUUCAGUUACACAAGUGAAUACCACAAUUCGAAAAGUGAAUGCAUAAUGAUAGCAAAUAAUUGCAGGAAACAUUAAUUAGUGGAUACUAGAAACAUCAGCAAAGCAAACCUCUUGCAGCAAAGAUUAGAUUGAAAUUGUUUUCCUAAGGCAAAGGUAUUCUUUAAAAAGAACCCCAAGUCAAAAUUAUCUAGUUAGGUGGCUAGACUAGUUUCUGAAGGGCGGUUUUUGCUUAAUAUAAACACUUUAUAUCAUUUUUUGUGCUUUUCCCUAGAUACAUUAAGGUAUGUCUAUUGUCCAUUAUAUAAGUGUUUUCCCCAAGCAUAUUUCCAGUUUGUUGCAAAGGUCAUAUUUUUCUUAAAUUGCAAUUGUCGGCAAUUUGUAACUGCCAAAUUGAUUGAGAAUGAAAUCAGGAGUGAAGUCUUCUGUUGAUAUGCAUUAGCUCAACUGCCCCUUUGAUUUCAUAUUAAUAGCAGAAUAGACCACAGCAUCUUAUGUCUAAAUUCCUCCCUAAAAACUCUGCUCCUCUUGACAUUGCAACUGUUUGCAGGUAGAACAACCAAAGGGAGGAAUUCAUUUUUGUGUUACUUAAUGUCUUCUUUUGUAACAACAAGAGUGUCUGACGUGGGAGGAAUGUACUGAAAAUAAUAGGUAGCAAAUGCUAGAGCCUUGGAAAACGUACAAGAAUUUGUCUAAAUCUUAAUAUAUGUAAUUAUUUAUUCACUUGAAAUAGGAGAUACAAGGAAGAUACAGGUCACACUUACUGUUGCACAGAUUAUGUAACAUUAUAAAAAAAUCUAGCCCUGUAUAUAUCAGAAAUUUUCCAAAAGGCAGCUUGCUUUUAUAUCUAUGCAUCUUUGGGGGAGGGGAAUAGGGGUGUUAAAUGUAUUCUUUUGACACUGUAACAAUUACUCAAAAGUGAACUUGGAAACUCUGCACCUGUAUACAAUUUUUUAGCAAUAAAGCAGCAUGGGCUGAGAAUGCA